This 913-nucleotide ribosomal RNA is filed under the name uncultured bacterium. RNAcentral describes it as "bacterial SSU rRNA". It matches the Rfam family "Bacterial small subunit ribosomal RNA", at positions 8 to 916 of the family's 1533-position model. The record is from RNAcentral.
AGAGUUUGAUCCUGGCUCAGGAUGAACGCUAGCGGGAGGCUUAACACAUGCAAGUCGAGGGGCAGCAUAGGGUAGCAAUACUCUGAUGGCGACCGGCAAACGGGUGAGUAACGCGUAUGCAACCUACCCUGUACAGGGGGAUAACCCGGAGAAAUUCGGACUAAUAUCCCGUAAUAAUAUCCGGAGGCAUCUUUGGAUAUUUAAAGUUCCGACGGUACGGGAUGGGCAUGCGUAACAUUAGCUGGUUGGUAAGGUAACGGCUUACCAAGGCUAUGAUGUUUAGGGGUCCUGAGAGGGUGGUCCCCCACACUGGUACUGAGACACGGACCAGACUCCUACGGGAGGCAGCAGUGAGGAAUAUUGGUCAAUGGGCGCAAGCCUGAACCAGCCAUCCCGCGUGCAGGAAGACGGCCCUAUGGGUUGUAAACUGCUUUUCCAGGGAGAGAAACUUACGCACGUGUUGCGUGACUGACGGUACCCUGGGAAUAAGCAUCGGCUAACUCCGUGCCAGCAGCCGCGGUAAUACGGAGGAUGCAAGCGUUAUCCGGAUUCAUUGGGUUUAAAGGGUGCGUAGGCGGGCUAUUAAGUCAGUGGUGAAAUCCUGCAGCUUAACUGCAGAACUGCCGUUGAUACUGAUAGUCUUGAGUUUGGUUAAGGUAGGCGGAAUGUGUAAUGUAGCGGUGAAAUGCUUAGAUAUUACACAGAACACCAAUUGCGUAGGCAGCUUACUGAGCCGACACUGACGCUGAGGCACGAAAGCGUGGGGAUCAAACAGGAUUAGAUACCCUGGUAGUCCACGCCGUAAACGAUGAUUACUCGCUGUUGGCGAUACACUGUCAGCGGCUAAGCAAAAGCAAUAAGUAAUCCACCUGGGGAGUACGGCCGCAAGGUUGAAACUCAAAUGAAUUGACGG